AUUGAACGCUGGCGGCAUGCCUUACACAUGCAAGUCGAACGGCAGCACGGGAGCAAUCCUGGUGGCGAGUGGCGAACGGGUGAGUAAUAUAUCGGAACGUGCCCAGUCGUGGGGGAUAACGUAGCGAAAGCUACGCUAAUACCGCAUACGAUCUACGGAUGAAAGCGGGGGAUCGCAAGACCUCGCGCGAUUGGAGCGGCCGAUAUCAGAUUAGCUAGUUGGUGAGGUAAAGGCUCACCAAGGCGACGAUCUGUAGCUGGUCUGAGAGGACGACCAGCCACACUGGAACUGAGACACGGUCCAGACUCCUACGGGAGGCAGCAGUGGGGAAUUUUGGACAAUGGGCGCAAGCCUGAUCCAGCAAUGCCGCGUGCAGGAUGAAGGCCUUCGGGUUGUAAACUGCUUUUGUACAGAACGAAACGGCUCUUUCUAAUACAAGGGGCUAAUGACGGUACCGUAAGAAUGAGCACCGGCUAACUACGUGCCAGCAGCCGCAGUAA
RNAcentral lists this ribosomal RNA (500 nucleotides) under uncultured bacterium. RNAcentral describes it as "partial 16S ribosomal RNA". It matches the Rfam family "Bacterial small subunit ribosomal RNA", at positions 30 to 523 of the family's 1533-position model. The record is from RNAcentral.